This 439-nucleotide ribosomal RNA is filed under the name uncultured bacterium. RNAcentral describes it as "partial 16S ribosomal RNA". It matches the Rfam family "Bacterial small subunit ribosomal RNA", at positions 339 to 795 of the family's 1533-position model. The record is from RNAcentral.
CUACGGGUGGCUGCAGUGGGGGAUAUUGCACAAUGGAGGAAACUCUGAUGCAGCAACGCCGCGUGAGGGAAGAAGGUCUUCGGAUUGUAAACCUAAGUAGUCAGGGACGAUAAUGACGGUACCUGAAGAGUAAGCUCCGGCUAACUACGUGCCAGCAGCCGCGGUAAUACGUAGGGAGCGAGCGUUAUCCGGAUUUACUGGGUGUAAAGGGUGCGUAGGUGGGUUUGCAAGUCAGGCGUGAAAUACCGAGGCUCAACUUCGGGGCUGCGCUUGAAACUGUAAAUCUUGAGUGAAGUAGAGGCAAGCGGAAUUCCUAGUGUAGCGGUGAAAUGCGUAGAUAUUAGGAGGAACACCAGUGGCGAAAGCGGCUUGCUGGGCUUUUACUGACGCUGAGGCACGAAGGCAUGGGGAGCAAACAGGAUUAGAUACCCCGGUAGUC